This 104-nucleotide small nuclear RNA is filed under the name Peromyscus maniculatus bairdii (prairie deer mouse). The record is from RNAcentral. Lineage: Eukaryota; Metazoa; Chordata; Mammalia; Rodentia; Cricetidae.
GUGUUUGCCUGAGCAGUACAUACCCUGAAAGGGGAACAAUACAGAGACUAGCAUGGGCCCUGUGAAAGCAUGACACACAAAUCAGUGAAGCGGUCCAGAGUUUU